UGUGUCUUGAAAAGUAAUUUCGUUCA
This 26-nucleotide non-coding RNA is filed under the name Homo sapiens (human). The record is from RNAcentral. Lineage: Eukaryota; Metazoa; Chordata; Mammalia; Primates; Hominidae.